This 334-nucleotide ribosomal RNA is filed under the name uncultured bacterium. Its description in RNAcentral is "bacterial SSU rRNA". It matches the Rfam family "Bacterial small subunit ribosomal RNA", at positions 1 to 334 of the family's 1533-position model. The record is from RNAcentral.
CUAGCGACUUCAGAGUUUGAUCCUGGCUCAGGAUGAACGCUGGCGGCGUGCAUAACACAUUCAAGUCGAACGGUGACGACCUUCGGGUCUGAUCAGUGGCGGACGGGUGAGUAACGCGUGAGCAACCUGCCCUUGUGUGGGGGAUAACGUCUGGAAACGGACGAUAAUACCGCAUAACACGUACAGACCGCAUGAUCUGCAUGUCAAAGAUUUAUUGCGCAAGGAUGGGCUCGCGUCUGAUUAGGUAGUUGGUGAGGUAACGGCUCACCAAGCCGACGAUCAGUAGCCGGACUGAGAGGUUGAACGGCCACAUUGGAACUGAGAAACGGUCCAG